UUUUUUGCUUAUAAUUUUAUAAACAAAACAAUUAUUGGAUCAAGUUUAUAAAUUAAUUAAAAAUUUAUAUAACUCAUUUUUUUUUUUAACACGCAACAUGUAUAUAAAUAUAUACAUAUAUAUACACAUAUUCAAAAAAAACGUAGAUUGAAUAAAGCAAAAAUAAAGGAAGAUAUAAACGAAUAAAGUAAACAAAAGAUAGAACAAACUAAAAAAAAAAAAAAAAAUAAAAUAAAAUAAAAUAAAAUAAUUACUAUAUUGAAUAUAGUAAGUUUUUAAUUUGUUUGUAAGAAACGUUUAGAUAAACGACCGAAUGGACCAAAGAGUGUAUGAUCGUUCAAACAAAGAAAUUAAUAUCGAAAUGGAACAUGUAGAAAAUAAAAAGAAUAAAAAUUAUGUUUAUUUAGAUAGUAAUUAUGAUAGUAUUUAUUCAUCUGAAGCGAAUAAAAACAAUGGAGAAUUAUUAAAUAAAAAUUGUACUGUAUCAUCAAAUUAUAAUAACAGUAAUAAUACUGAUAAUAACAAAAACAUAAUAAAUAACAGUUAUGGUAAUACUAAUAUUGUAAGUAGUAAUGGUAAUAAUAUGGCUAAUAGUCAAACUAGUUUUGAGAGUAAUACUAUUAUUCAAAAUAACAUAAAUGAUUAUUCACAUAUAAAUAAUUACAAAUAUGGAAAAAAAGGUAAAAAAACGGAUAAUAAAAAAUCAGAUAAUAAAAAAUCUGACAAUAAAAAAUCUGAAAGAGCUAAAUUAUUAAAUAAUGAUAAUAAUAUUAAUAAUUAUAAUUUUUACAAUAUGAAUAAUAAUAAUACAUCUUAUAGUGAUGGACUUAUAAAUAAUGAAGAAGCUCAUUAUAGUUUUGAAAAUAAUUACAAUAAUGAAAUUGAUUUAGAAAAAAAUAGUAUGUUAAAUAAAUCUGACAGUGAUAUAAUUUUUAGUAAUAGGAGAAGCAGGAGAAGAUAUAAAUUAUAUAUAGUUUUAAAAAUAUUAUUAGCUGUAGUAAUAAUUAUUGCACUUAUAUAUGCAUUUUUUAAUUUUAAUAAUAUAUUUACAAUGUUAAAUCUUCUUAUUGAAUGGGUAAAAGAACAAAAAUCAUGGAGUAUUGUUUUAUAUUUAUUAAUUUUCACUUGUACUAUUCCUUUGUUUAUGUCAGUUGAAAUUAUGUGCGUAGCAGCAGGAUUAAUAUUUUCAGGCGUAUAUGGUAAAGCACUCGGUAUUGUUGUAGCUGUAUGUUCAGUUUUUUUGGGAUAUGUUAUAGUCAGUUAUAUAUUAGGAGUAACAUCUGUAAAAUAUAAACACUUUGCCCUUGGAUCGAUCACAGCUCUGCCUAGCAUAAGUUUAUUUGUAUAUAUUGGAGUUUUAAUUCAAAACAUAUCAAACAUAAACGACCUAGAAAAAAACAAGUUCAACUUUAUUAUACUGUUAGUUGGUUUAAUCAUAGGUAUUAUUGCACUUGUAUAUAUAUCAGUAAUUACAAGAAGAAGACUAUAUGUUAUGAAUGUAAUGAAUAUGUCCUUAUCGAUGGAAGAAGGAGAUGCCGAAUAAAUUGUCAACACCAUAUAUGUUAUAACAGAAAUAAAUUAAAAACAUAUAUACCUGUAUAAUUGUAA
This 1608-nucleotide long non-coding RNA is filed under the name Piliocolobus tephrosceles (Ugandan red Colobus). Its description in RNAcentral is "lncRNA (ENSPTEG00000004157.1)". The record is from RNAcentral. Lineage: Eukaryota; Metazoa; Chordata; Mammalia; Primates; Cercopithecidae.